This 484-nucleotide ribosomal RNA is filed under the name uncultured bacterium. RNAcentral describes it as "partial 16S ribosomal RNA". It matches the Rfam family "Bacterial small subunit ribosomal RNA", at positions 30 to 507 of the family's 1533-position model. The record is from RNAcentral.
AUUGAACGCUGGCGGCAGGCCUAACACAUGCAAGUCGAGCGGAUGAAGUGAGCUUGCUCCUGGUUUCAGCGGCGGACGGGUGAGUAAUGCCUAGGAAUCUGCCUGGUAGUGGGGGAUAACGUCCGGAAACGGGCGCUAAUACCGCAUACGUCCUGAGGGAGAAAGUGGGGGAUCUUCGGACCUCACGCUAUCAGAUGAGCCUAGGUCGGAUUAGCUAGUUGGUGGGGUAAAGGCCUACCAAGGCGACGAUCCGUAACUGGUCUGAGAGGAUGAUCAGUCACACUGGAACUGAGACACGGUCCAGACUCCUACGGGAGGCAGCAGUGGGGAAUAUUGGACAAUGGGCGAAAGCCUGAUCCAGCCAUGCCGCGUGUGUGAAGAAGGUCUUCGGAUUGUAAAGCACUUUAAGUUGGGAGGAAGGGCAGUAAGUUAAUACCUUGCUGUUUUGACGUUACCAACAGAAUAAGCACCGGCUAACUUCGUG